GAGUGAUUUAAAACUCAUUUUUCAACCACUCCAACCUAAGUAUAUGUAAACAUCUGACUUCACCUGUAAGUUUAAAUGUGCCUUUAAGCUAGCCCUUACAGAGUUCUAAUCUAACGGAGUGUGUGUUUUCUCUACCCUGCUUAGGGAGCCUUAUUCAUUGAACCUGCAGAGCAAGAAGCUGGCCUUGGACAUCCAGAGAACCAUCCAGGGAACAACAAUCUCCAUUUCUAAGAAAGGCUGCUGCUGGUGAGGCCUGCUCCCUGACUUACAUGGCUUGUGUGGCCCACUCUGGGAUGGCUGCAGAUGAAAUAGCAGAGAAUAUUGAUUCAGCUGUCAGCACCAUCGUGACAAAACUACGCAUGAAAGAACCAUUGAUAAAGAUCAUCCACUUGAAAAGCCAAUCAGUGGAUCUGCCCAUCUACACCUCUAACCUGAGUAACCUGACCCUGAUAGAGGAAACACAGAAACAGACCAUGGCUGCCAUGGAUGCCAAGGAAAAAUGCAAGCAAACAGAAGUCUGCAAAGAAAGAACAGAAGCCUACAGAAAAGAACUCUGGUGCUGACGGGGAGGAAGAGGUUCCCAUAGUAACGCCAAGAAAAAAGGCUAAACUGGAGGUCUAUACCCCGCUAGUGUCAACCAAAUGCAUUUUAAUAUUGGAGCCUUAUUCAUUGAACCUGCAGAGCAAGAAGCUGGCCUUGGACAUCCAGAGAACCAUCCAGGGAACAACAAUCUCCAUUUCUAAGAAAGGCUGCUGCUGCAUGGCUUGUGUGGCCCACUCUGGGAUGGCUGCAGAUGAAAUAGCAGAGAAUAUUGAUUCAGCUGUCAGCACCAUCGUGACAAAACUACGCAUGAAAGAACCAUUGAUAAAGAUCAUCCACUUGAAAAGCCAAUCAGUGGAUCUGCCCAUCUACACCUCUAACCUGAGUAACCUGACCCUGAUAGAGGAAACACAGAAACAGACCAUGGCUGCCAUGGAUGCCAAGGAAAAAUGCAAGCAAACAGAAGUCUGCAAAGAAAGAACAGAAGCCUACAGAAAAGAACUCUGGUGCUGACGGGGAGGAAGAGGUUCCCAUAGUAACGCCAAGAAAAAGGCUAAACUGGAGGUCUAUACCCCGCUAGUGUCAACCAAAUGCAUUUUAAUAUUGGAGCCUUAUUCAUUGAACCUGCAGAGCAAGAAGCAGGCCUUGGACAUCCAGAGAACCAUCCAGGGAACAACAAUCUCCAUUUCUAAGAAAGGCUGCUGCUGGUGAGGCCUGCUCCCUGACUUACAUGGCUUGUGUGGCCCACUCUGGGAUGGCUGCAGAUGAAAUAGCAGAGAAUAUUGAUUCAGCUGUCAGCACCAUCGUGACAAAACUACGCAUGAAAGAACCAUUGAUAAAGAUCAUCCACUUGAAAAGCCAAUCAGUGGAUCUGCCCAUCUACACCUCUAACCUGAGUAACCUGACCCUGAUAGAGGAAACACAGAAACAGACCAUGGCUGCCAUGGAUGCCAAGG
Molecule: non-coding RNA, 1496 nt
Organism: Salmo salar (Atlantic salmon)
Lineage: Eukaryota; Metazoa; Chordata; Actinopteri; Salmoniformes; Salmonidae
Source: RefSeq, a predicted model, not a curated record